CUACUCCAAACAGUGAAUCUAAACCUACUGAAGUCAACAUACAUAAAAAGGAUCCAAAUGGUUAGGAACCAAGAGAAUGUACAGUCAAACUUAGUAGUCUCACUGUGAGUAGCCAAUAACACCAUAGAUCAAAGGAUCACUCGCACCAUGCAGCAACGAGAAGAUCACUGACGAGUGAGUAGACAUCCAUAUGAUUCUCAUGUUGGUCAUGUUCAAUGUAAGUUAUUUUCUAACAACCAUCCACACUCUCACUCCAGUAUCCUUCCAUGGCAGACUGAAGACUCAUUUGCCCACA
RNAcentral lists this long non-coding RNA (295 nucleotides) under Elaeis guineensis (African oil palm). Its description in RNAcentral is "long non-coding RNA (EGUI_LNC057230)". Lineage: Eukaryota; Viridiplantae; Streptophyta; Magnoliopsida; Arecales; Arecaceae. The record is from RNAcentral.